CCUACGGGAGGCUGCAGUGGGGAAUAUUGGACAAUGGGCGAAAGCCUGAUCCAGCCAUGCCGCGUGUGUGAAGAAGGCCUUCGGGUUGUAAAGCACUUUCAGUGGGGAAGAAAGCCUUGGGGCUAAUACCCUCGAGGAAGGACAUCACCCACAGAAGAAGCACCGGCUAACUCCGUGCCAGCAGCCGCGGUAAUACGGAGGGUGCGAGCGUUAAUCGGAAUUACUGGGCGUAAAGCGCGCGUAGGCGGUCUGAUAAGCCGGUUGUGAAAGCCCCGGGCUCAACCUGGGAACGGCAUCCGGAACUGUCAGGCUAGAGUGCAGGAGAGGAAGGUAGAAUUCCCGGUGUAGCGGUGAAAUGCGUAGAGAUCGGGAGGAAUACCAGUGGCGAAGGCGGCCUUCUGGACAGACACUGACGCUGAGGUGCGAAAGCGUGGGUAGCAAACAGGAUUAGAUACCCUUGUAGUC
Molecule: ribosomal RNA, 465 nt
Filed under: Vreelandella stevensii
Lineage: Bacteria; Pseudomonadati; Pseudomonadota; Gammaproteobacteria; Oceanospirillales; Halomonadaceae
Description: partial 16S ribosomal RNA
Rfam family: Bacterial small subunit ribosomal RNA
Source: RNAcentral